CGGGCCAUGGUGUAGCGGUAGCACGCAGCAUUCGGGUUGCUGUAGCUCCAGUUCAAAUCUGGGUGGCCCGA
Molecule: transfer RNA, 71 nt
Filed under: bacterium
Lineage: Bacteria
Description: tRNA-Pro
Rfam family: tRNA
About the family: Transfer RNA (tRNA) molecules are approximately 80 nucleotides in length.
Source: RNAcentral